CCUCUUUCAAGCAGCAAUACUCUUCCUUUUUCGUGGAUUUUGUUCCUCCCAACAACAAGUUUCGUACUACGACUACAUCAUCGUCGGCGGCGGCACCGCCGGCUGCCCAUUAGCCGCCACCCUCUCCAACAACUCCACCGUCUUGCUGCUUGAAAGAGGACCCUCCCCUUACGGCAACAAGAACAUAACCCACUUCCCCAACUUCCUCGACAACCUCGCGGACACGUCCCCCUCCUCUCCAUCCCAGCCCUUCAUCUCCACCGACGGCGUUAUCAACUCGCGCGCCCGCGUCCUUGGCGGCGGCACGUGCAUCGGCGCUGGGUUCUACAGUCGGGCUAGCCCGGAACAGGUGAGGAUGAUGGGGCUGGAGGGGAAGCUAGUGAAUGAGUCAUAUAAGUGGGUGGAGGAGGUGGUGGCGUUCGAGCCGAGGAUGCUGCAGUGGCAAUCGGCGGUGAGAGAGGGACUGUUGGAGGCCGGGGUGGAGCCGGACAAUGGGUUUACAUACGAUCAUGUGUACGGGACUAAGACGGGAGGGACGGUCUUUGAUAGAGAUGGGCGGCGGCACACGGCGGCGGACUUGCUCCGGUACGCUGAUCCUGGGAGGCUUAUUGUGCUGCUGCAUGCCACGGUUUGCCGCAUCUUGUUUCGAUACCAAGGUAACCUGAGUCGAGUGGCCUGUGGUGUUGCAUUCCACGACACAGACGG
Molecule: unclassified non-coding RNA, 705 nt
Filed under: Hevea brasiliensis (rubber tree)
Lineage: Eukaryota; Viridiplantae; Streptophyta; Magnoliopsida; Malpighiales; Euphorbiaceae
Source: RNAcentral